AAUGUUGGCCAUGCUACCCUGAAUGUGCCUGAUCUCAUCUGAUCUUGUAAGCUAAGAAGGGUAGGGCCUGUUUAGUACUUGGAUGGGAGACCACCUAAGAAUAGCAGGUGCUGUAGGUG
Molecule: ribosomal RNA, 119 nt
Filed under: Pteropus alecto (black flying fox)
Lineage: Eukaryota; Metazoa; Chordata; Mammalia; Chiroptera; Pteropodidae
Source: RNAcentral